GAGGGAGGUUUAAAACAGCAAGAACUGCUAACUCUUGCAUCUGAGUAUAAAACCUCAGCCCCCUUA
Molecule: transfer RNA, 66 nt
Filed under: Ficedula zanthopygia (yellow-rumped flycatcher)
Lineage: Eukaryota; Metazoa; Chordata; Aves; Passeriformes; Muscicapidae
Description: tRNA-Ser
Source: RNAcentral